AAGAACAACAGGGAUUGCCUCAGUAACGGCGAGUGAAGCGGCAACAGCUCAAAUUUGAAAUCUGGCCCCAGGCCCGAGUUGUAAUUUGCAGAGGAUGCUUCGGGCGCGGUGCCUUCCAAGUCCCCUGGAACGGGGCGCCAUAGAGGGUGAGAGCCCCGUCGGGUCGGCCGCCAAGCCUGUGUGAAGCUCCUUCGACGAGUCGAGUAGUUUGGGAAUGCUGCUCUAAAUGGGAGGUAGACCCCUUCUAAAGCUAAAUACCGGCCAGAGACCGAUAGCGCACAAGUAGAGUGAUCGAAAGAUGAAAAGCACUUUGAAAAGAGGGUUAAACAGUACGUGAAAUUGUUGAAAGGGAAGCGCUUGUGACCAGACAUGCGCCGGGCGCUCAGCGGGCGUUCUCGCCCGUGCAUUCGCCCCGGCGCAGGCCAGCGUCGGUUCGGGAGGGGGGACAAAGGCGCCAGGAACGUGGCUCCCUCGGGAGUGUUAUAGCCUGGCGCGUCAUGCCCCCGCCCGGACCGAGGUUCGCGCUCCGCAAGGACGCUGGCGUAAUGGUCCCCAGCGGCCCGUCUUGAAACACGGACCAAGGAGUCGAGGUUUUGCGCGAGUGUUUGGGUGUCAAACCCGCACGCGUAAUGAAAGUGAACGCAGGUGGGAGCUUCGGCGCACCACCGACCGAUCCUGAUGUUCUCGGAUGGAUUUGAGUAGGAGCGUAGGGCCUCGGACCCGAAAGAUGGUGAACUAUACUUGGAUAGGGUGAAGCCAGAGGAAACUCUGGUGGAGGCUCGCAGCGGUUCUGACGUGCAAAUCGAUCGUCAAAUCUGAGUAUGGGGGCGAAAGACUAAUCGAACCAUCUAGUAGCUGGUUACCGCCGAGU
RNAcentral lists this ribosomal RNA (871 nucleotides) under Pseudolachnea hispidula. RNAcentral's name for it is "partial large subunit ribosomal RNA". It matches the Rfam family "Eukaryotic large subunit ribosomal RNA", at positions 56 to 966 of the family's 3401-position model. The record is from RNAcentral. Lineage: Eukaryota; Fungi; Ascomycota; Sordariomycetes; Chaetosphaeriales; Chaetosphaeriaceae.